Molecule: RNA transcript, 3223 nt
Organism: Culex quinquefasciatus (southern house mosquito)
Lineage: Eukaryota; Metazoa; Arthropoda; Insecta; Diptera; Culicidae
Gene name: U4/U6.U5 tri-snRNP-associated protein 1
Exons: 4
Source: RefSeq, a predicted model, not a curated record
GCAAUCUGUCAAAAUGUUUGUAAACGUUUAGAGCCGUCGUCUCCGUCGUGUUUUCGUUUGCCGAGUUUGGGUUUCGCAAAUUGCAAGGAAUUUUCAGAUUUUUUAUCGUUCCGGAACCAUCUUCCGGCAAUGGGUUCCUCCAAGAAGCACAAGAAGGAAUCGAAGAAGCACAAGCGUCGCUCGCGGAGCCGUUCGCCGCACGAGAAACGCCGCAGCCGUUCGUACGCCGAGGAGCACGAAUUUGUGGUGGAGGAUGGGGAGGAGGAGGAGCAGCAGCAGGUCGUGGAAGAUAAUGGCCACCGGAGGGAGAAGGACCGGUACGAGGGGGAGGAAAAGGUGAGCCGCCACAAGAAGCACAAGAAGGACCGCGACCGGCAUCACCACAGUAAGAAGCGGAGGGUGAGGGAGGAGGAUGGGGAGGGGUUGGAGGUUGAAGUUGGUGGGAGUAGCAGCCGGAAGAAGCGACAUCGGACCAAGGAGUAUGUAGAGGUUGCGGAUGAUAGCAGCGAUAGUUCGGAUUGCGUGGAAGUUCCGGUUGAUGAGGAUAUUCCGGUUCCACCGCCGCCAAUUAUGCGUCGCUAUCCGACGCCGGAACCGGCGCCAGCGUUCGCUGGCCGACGGUCGUCUCCGUCGCCACCACCGAGGGUGGCCGCUCCAAGCCAUCGAAGGCGGUCACCUUCUCCGCCGAGGGUUGCUGCUCCGUCGAGCAGGAAACGAUCUCCGUCGCCACCGAGGGUGGCUCCGCCAAGUCGUAGAAGGUCGCCGUCGCCACCAAGGGUGGCCCCUCCCAGUCGUCGGAGGUCACCUUCGCCGCAGCGCAAUACCCGCCGCAGGUCACCGCCACCACAGCCGGAGCAGCGAAAACGGACUCCGUCGCCGAUUCCGGAGAAUGGCGCCGGUGAUUGCCUGUCGGUUGAGGAAACCAACAAGCUGCGUGCCAAGCUGGGCUUGAAACCGCUGGAGGUCGGUCCGUCGGAUGCGGCCAAGGAGAGUAGCAGCAGCAGCCGGAAGCCGGACGAAGACGCCCCGAGGAAUGAGCGAACCGGAGCCAGUUACGAAAAGAUCAAGGACGAUUGGGGCGAAUUCUACCACAAACCCGCGACUAACCUGAAGGAAAAGACCAAGGAGGAGAAAAUUCGGGAAAAGCUAAAGGAGAGGAAGGAGAAGCGGGCUGUUGAAGAAAAGCUGAAACGUCUGCAAACGCUCGGCGAGGACGAAGACAUGGACGACGUCAAGAAUUGGGUCAGCCGGAGCAGGGACAAGGAUCGGCUUAAGAAGGAAGCCGACGAGCGCGCCAAACUGCUGGACCAAAUGGACGAAGAGUUUGGCGUGGGCGACCUCGUUGACCAGGAAGUGCGUCAAACGCGGAAGAAUGCCUACAAGGAUCGCGAUCUGCGGGGACUGCGCGUUGAGCACGACGUGGAAGAGUUUAAGGAAGGUCGGCAGGUGAUUCUGACGCUGAAGGAUGCGGACGUGUUGGACGAAGAGGCGGGCGACACGCUGGUCAACGUGAACAUGAUGGACGACGAGCGGUACAAGAAGAACGUUGAAAACAGGAAGCAAAACCCGAACCAUUACGGCUACAACGUGUACGACGAGGAGGUGGACGAGUUCGGGAUGGUUAAGGAGAGGGAUAUUCUUGGCAAAUACAACGACGAGCUGGGCGAGCGCAAAAAGUCCAGCUUCACGAUCGGCUCGAACGCGGAGCACGAAGCGGCCGAGAAGCGCCGCCAGCUGGAGAUUCGCGCCAAACUGCAGAACAAAAAGCUCGACUCGCUCAACACCGUGCCGCUGGCGCUUGCUUCCGAAUACUUUAACGAAACCGAAAUUGCCUCGUUUAAAAAGCCAAAGAAGAAGGUGCGCAAAAUCCGCCAAAAGCUGCGCGCCGACGAUCUGCUGGCCUCGGUUCCGGAGGCAGCUUCCAGUGCGGAUCUGGGCUCGCGAGCGAAUCGACGCGGUGGAGAGCCCCCUCCGACGAAGAGUGAGAUCCGGAACGUAAAGCGACGGGACAUUCUGAUUACGGACGACACUCCGACGUUUGACGACGAUUUGAGCGGGGUGCGCGUUGACGAGGACGAUGAAGACUUGCAGGCGGUUCUGUCGAAGGCUCGCAGGUUGAAGCAGAAGGAGGCAAUCAUUUCCAAGGCACUGCCGUUCGAUCCGGACCAGAUCAAGCACGAGAUCAAGCCGGAAGCGGACUCCGAGGACGAGAGCGGAACGUUCGACACGCGAACUCGCGACGGAGCGAUGCUGCUGAACGCGACGGCCGAAUUCUGCAGGACGCUGGGCGAUAUCCCGACGUACGGAUUGGCCGGCAAUCGCGACGAAGACGUCAACGAGAUGAUGGACUUUGAGCAGGAGCACGAGGAGCGCGAACCAGACUACCAGGAACCGGGCGGAAGCUCGUGGAACUACGUCAACACCGAGCGUGAGCAGGAAGAGCAAGCCCGGUCCGGCCAGGUCCCCGUUGAGGACGUUGCCAUCCUGGACGAAGAACCGGACGUGGCCUCGAGCGUCGCCGGCGCCCUCAAACUCGCCAACUCCAAGGGCUACCUCGAGAAGGAAGAGUCCAACCGGCCGAGCAACGCGCGCUUCGCCCACCUCCAGGCCCAGAACUACUCGAUCGAGGACAAGAACUACGGCGACGAGGACAAGUACUCGCGGCGUGACCGCUUCUCCGGGCCGAUCAGCGACUUCCGCGAAAAGGAAACGUUCAAGCCGAACGUCAAGCUCGAGUACAUCGACGACAGUGGCCACCUGCUGACGCCGAAGGAGGCGUUCCGCUACCUGUCACACAAGUUCCACGGCAAGGGCCCCGGCAAGAACAAGGUCGAGAAGCGGCUCAAGAAGAGCGAGCAGGAGGGGCUGAUGAAGAAGAUGAGCUCGACGGACACGCCGCUCGGCACGCUCAACAUGCUGCAGGCCAAGCAGAAGGAAACGCAGUCGCCCUUUAUCGUGCUGUCCGGCAAGCAGAACACGAGCAUCGUCAAGCAUAAGCGCUGAGAAGGGGGUCGAGAAAGUCAUAGUGUGUGUGUGUGAAAAAGUAAUCAAUUGAACCUAAACUAUUUAGUGCUAGCUGAUAAGUGGGCGCGCAGCCGACUGCUUGUAGCUCUUUUGCGCGGAAUAAAGAUUUAUUUGCAGGCAGGUGGAUGGUUACGUUCCCCUUUGGUUGCCGAUGACAAGGGUCUCCGAAAGUGGUAAGUGUUGUAUGAAUAUAAUUUAA